Molecule: long non-coding RNA, 2455 nt
Filed under: Musa acuminata (dwarf banana)
Lineage: Eukaryota; Viridiplantae; Streptophyta; Magnoliopsida; Zingiberales; Musaceae
Description: long non-coding RNA (MACU_LNC004723)
Source: RNAcentral
AUCAUCAUAAGAGAGCUUAUUUGUUAUAUUGUUUGUAAUAAUGCAUUAUGUUUAUUUGUGUUGCAUAUUCUACUUGCAAAUUUUCCUUAUUACCUUUUUUCAUCACUCUCUGUAUCUCUUAAAGAAAUUUCUAGAUUUUUUUAUGCACUCUAUUAAGCAUAUUCAAGUGAAAGAAACAUGCAAUUGUAAGAAUCGGACUAAAACAAUCAAAAUUUGUUUUUCGGAACCUGGGACUUCCUUUUGUGGAAAAAAUAAUCCUUUUCUAUUAUCUUUGUGAUAUCAUCAGCACCUCACAACAAAAUUUGUAACUGGAACAAUUAUCUAUUUGAUUGGUGUUGUUUUAGGUGCCUAGAUAUCUAUGAUUUUCAGACUUUCCAACCACUAGAUGUUUAGUGUAGUCAAUUUCACCAUGUUGCAUCAAAUAAUGUCAUUUAAGUCUUAUAAUCAACUGUAUUAAUCUCAUCAUUAUCCUCAACUGGUAGGUCGAAUUAUGUGCAAACUGUGAAAACAGCACGCUGGGAGUACAGCACCCGUCCAGUUUAUGGCUGGGGUGAUGUCAAAUCAAAGCAGAAAUCAACAGCAGGCUGGCUUGCAGCAUUUCCUGUGUUUGAACCUCAUUGGCAAAUAUGCAUGGCAGGUGGUCUGUCAACAGGUAUUAAUUGCAUUGUGACCGAUGCAAGAAAGAAACCUGAGGUCCUAAGCAUUCCUGUUAGAGUGUCAUUUGUGAAAAUGAAUAUAGUAUCUUGUCAUUUGCCUACCUUAUGUAGUAAACAGUUAAAUAAAUUAUUUGCAUGCAAGAUUUGAUAUAGAUGUAUACAUAUUCAUCUAGACAUGUCAUUUUCAUGUGUACCUGUGCAUGUUCAUCGUUUGUUCGGGUGAGGGGCUUGGGGAUGUUGGGCAGGGAAAAGUUCCUUCAAUUCCUGAUUCCACAGCAGAAGAGAGCAUUUUCUUUAGAGCUUAGUUUGUCCAUGUUGAUUACUGGUGAUAACCUAACCAGUGAUUGAAAAAGGCGCUCGGGCGCUCGCCUAGGCGCUCGGGCGAGGCGAGGCCCGAGCGCCUCGCUAAUGUCCCAGGCGACACGCUUCAAACAGGCGCCGCCUGGGCGCUUCGGGCGAGCGCCUGGGUAAACCAAGUGACCGAACCAGGAUUUUAGGUCUGGUUCGAUACUGGUUCGGUUGUUAGUUGGUUCAAUCGAACCAACUAAACCGAUAUAUCCCUUACCCAACCAUAACCCUUACCCAACCCUAACCCGUUGCCGCUGCCGCUCCCGAUCCCGAUCUCGCUGCUCGUCGCUCCUCUUCCCGCUGCCGCUGCUCGCCGUUGUCGCUGCUCGCGCCUCCCGCGAGCCCUCCCGCGAGCCUUCCCGCUGCUCGCGACUCCCGCGAGCCCUCCCGCUGCUCGCGCCUCCCGCGAGCCCUCCUGCUGCUCAUGCCUCCCGCUCCCUUUCCCUUUCCCGCCGUCGCUGCUUCCUCGUUUCUCCGUCAGGCUCAGUAUACAGUAUACUCUUAAUAUUAAGUUUAUUUGAAUUUUGAAAUGAUUAAUUUUCAAUACUGUUAAUAGAUUAAUAAUAUAUUAUUUUGAUUUUAAUGUUGUUAAUUUUUAUUUAUUUGAAAUUAUUGUUAGGUUUCAACAUAAAUGACUUUGAUGUAAAAUUUUAUUGUUUUGAAUUUUGAAACUUUUUGUUAAUGUGACAUUGUGAUUUUGUAUCUUAGAUUUUCUUAAUUUAAUAGCAUAUUUUUAUUUAAAAUUUUAAAUAAUUAUAUUUAUUAAUUAUAUUAUAUAUUUUUAUGUUUUAGCGCAUCGCUUCGUUCGGGCGAGCGCCUAACGCCUCCGGCGUUUUUGGACCUUGGCGCCUAGCGCUUUUUAAAUCACUGAACCUAACUUCUCUGUAAUUUAUUCCUCUCUUUGUGAUUACUUUUCACGUUGUAUCAAGCCUUUUGACUUUGGUGUAGUAUCUCUUUGUUACAGAGACAAAUUUAAGAAAGCAGCAUUAGUUGCUUUGUUGGACAGUUUGCUACAUUCCCCCCGGAGAAAUAACAUGCAUUACCCCUAAUGGUUUAAAUAAAUGAGCUAACGGUCCAACCAAUAUACAAGGAAAUAUUUAAAUAAUUUCUGUCACAACCAAAGUACCAGAGGUCCUAUUUUUUUUUAGGUCUAGAUCUCUGAUUAUCUGGUGCCUAUUGUAAUCAAUAGCUGAAUUGUAGUAUAUAAGGAGACCCAGUAUAACAUCUCCAAUCCAUAAUUAUUAUUGCUCUAAAUGGAGUUUACUCCAUGAGUGGAGUUUUGCAGGUCAGACUUUUUUAAAGACAAAUAUUUACUCUAUUUAAAAAUCCUCACAAUUCUAAUAUGCUUAUCACGGGCCCAAUGGUAGAUCCAGUAUUUAGGACCUAGAAAUAUUAAAAUUUAAAAUAAAUUUAUCUUAGCCUGUUUGGCUUCUAUGUGCAAUUUACAGGUU